CUUGAACAGAAAUCUUCCUAAGGACUGGAACAAAACUUGUAAUGGGUGUCUUCCCAGAAUUGAUGCACAAGUCAGGAACACAGGUAAAAGAUUGAACAAAAACUUUAAUAUGAACGAUGCAACUACAUAAAAUAAUAAAAUAAGGAAAGUCCCAUAAAUACAGUAGAGUCCCAAAAUGUCCUUAGGAUCCACCUUACGCGUUUCGGCACAAAGCCUUCAUCAGAGGUGCUGUGUUCUGUUCAGGCGAGAAGUCCCUUUUAAACCUUAUUUGGUGCCAUUUUCGCCGUCUUCCCGGCACUUCAUUUCCGGGUUCUGACGUCAGGACGCGUCCUGCGUCGUCACGUGCUGACGUCACUUCCGGUUUCGGCGAAUAUGAUGUGUGGGAACCGUCAUAACAAAAAGUCCAUACGAAUUCAAUAUAUGAAGAUUAUGAAGAUUAAAAACUUCAAAAAAGUGCUCUCACCAUUCUUUCUUAUCUUCACUUGUGCUUAAUGUAGUGGUUAUUGUGGCCCACUAAGGUGAUUGUAGCACCAGUGUUUGUUCAUUAAUUUUUCACUGUGUUGUUUUAUUUUGCUGUACAUCAAUGGCCAGAAUUGGUGGGAACCAGCUUCAGGUACAUAUAUAGUAUCUAUUCUCUUUUGUACCCGUGAGCCACUUCAGGGGACAUAUUCCCCCUUUAAAUGUGACUGAACUGCUUUGAUGUUUUGU
This is a non-coding RNA of Pelobates cultripes (western spadefoot toad), 708 nucleotides long. The record is from the annotation of a GenBank genome assembly. Lineage: Eukaryota; Metazoa; Chordata; Amphibia; Anura; Pelobatidae.